Non-coding RNA from Heterocephalus glaber (naked mole-rat), 4284 nucleotides. The record is from RefSeq and is a predicted model, not a curated record. NCBI's taxonomy places the organism in Eukaryota, Metazoa, Chordata, Mammalia, Rodentia, Bathyergidae.
CUCCUUGGUGGUCUUUGGGGACUUCGCAAUCUGGGCACAACAGCGGGAGGCUCCCUUCCUGGCCCAGACUCCUUCCGAAAAGCUAACCGAGGGGCUGUCAGCCUCAGGUCCCUCCUACCACUCCCAAGAUCCCCACCUGAGAGGAGAAUGAGCUACUCUGGCUCACAGGGUGGAGCCUGUGGCUCCUGGGGAGUCGGGCCUGUGGGGGCCUCCAGCACAGCACGGCGGGAAUGCGAGGCGACCAGAGCUGCCCACACUGGGGCCUGAUGCGAGAGGAAGGGGGAAGAGGCUGGGUCCCGAGCCCUUCCCAGGCCCAGGAAGCAGCAGACCUCCCACGGCCCCCUUAGCAGACCUACCUCUCCCGCAGUACCAAGCAGGGCCCGGGCCGAGCGCGGGGCCUGGACACGCCUCGGGGUGCCUGUGUCAGCAGCGAGCUGCCUCGCGGGUUCCCGCUGAUUAGGAACCGUGGCUUCAGAGGGGAGAUCAUGCUCUCGGCGUUGUGCAGGUUUAUUGAACACCUAUUUGCUCCGCGAGGUGUCAGAGGCAUGGUGUAAGAGACUAGCAGAAGAGCCCAGCCAGUCCUGGGAGUUUAGAGACAAGCAGGCAGGAGCCAAGGGCUCGCACGAACACACGUGAGCUCCUGGUGUGACAGAUCUCGUGUGGGCUGCCUGCCUGGCAGUGGAGGCUUCCACAUGGGCAGAUUUGACUCAGGUAGAGGGCAGUGAGAAGUGGAAAGGGGAUUUGGAGGAGCAGGAGGAAGAGGAGCAGGGGGAGGAGGACCAGCAGGAGGAGCAGGAGGAGGAGGAGCAGGAGGAGGAGGAUGAGCAAGAGGAGGAGGUGGAGCAGGAGGAGGAGCAGGAGGAGGGGGGGUACUAACUGGGCGUGAGAUGAGGGACAGGUGGAGAAGCCAAUGGAAAGGCCAUUUGGCUGAGGAUGUGGGUGAGCUCAGAGGCAGGGAUCCUUCAGGCUGGAAGCUAGGCGAGGCUGCAGCACGGGGCAGAGAGGGGCAGAGCAAGCUCUGGUGUCAUCCAGUCACUGGUUGGAGGAAGCAGGUGGCCGGAUCGGGGUUCUGCGAUGUCCGAAGGAAGUUGAUGCAGGGAAUCAGGUAGGAGACCCUGCUGCUGCCACUCCCUAUGCCCAGUGCUGAGCUGCCAGGUUCAAUGUUGCACGGCGUGGGCCUUGAAGUGCCACAUGGCAGCCCCCAGUCAGGUCCAGUUUCUAGGUGUCAGUUAAAAAUUAAAACAGGAAAAAGGCCGGCAGCCAGGUGCCAGCCUCCUGAGGACGCUGGGCCUGCUCACGACUUGCUGAGAAGCGGCGCUCAGCGAGCAGCACUCGGAGACCUCGGUGGUGAGGACAGCCAGCCACGACCACGCCAGUCCACGCUUGCUGCGGAUUGAAGCCCAGCACCCGUGCCAGCCUCGGGUCUCCGGGCGGGGUCCUGAGUCGAGGACCCCGGUCCUGCGGUGGAACCGCAGAGGCCCGAGCAUACUGGGUCACGCCGAGUGACCGCGAGUGAAGGCCCAGGUGUCCUGGCCACCAGCCUGCCCAGCUCCACUGCACUGUGCCAGGCGAGCAAGAUCCGUGCUUUCAGGUGAGGGACCUCCUCCUCGGCGGAGAAGAAAGCCACACCAGGGAACGUGGCUUCCAGGGUGGCCACACACAACGUGGCCUGCAUUUCACAGGGCUGCACAAAGGGGUCCGUUCCCCGCACCAGCUGUCGGCAUGGAACUGGCUCCGGAUGAGCGGGUCUGACUGAGCCUGGCCUGCUGCUGACUCACGCCUCUGCUAUGGACGAGUCACUCCACGUCCUGCAUGCCUCAGUGCCCCUAUUGUGAUGCCAGUGGCCACCGGCCUUCCCUGCCAGAUGGGCAGGCAGCGCCAGGAUGUGGGGCAGGCACCUCAGCCCCGCGCUGAGCACCAGCCCUCGAUUCCUGGCCCUGCAGGAGGACGGUGGUGAGGAUCGGCCUUGCCUGCCGGGGAAAGGGGCUGGCCUGGAAGGCAAGCUUGCCACACUUUGCUUCAAAUGUCUUCUGCUCUGCCACGACGAAGGACAAACCGAGUCAUCUGUAGGAAAAUGGGUGCAUCUGGAGACCAUAAUGCCAAGUGAAACGCAUCGCACGCAGCUUACACAUCGCAUGGCUUCUCAAGUGUGAGAAACUUGAAAGGUCGUGGGCUUGGAAGGUCCUGAAAACCUGCUCAGGACUGUUAUCCUCAGCAAUGUGGAGAGAGGAAUGAGACCUGAGGGCUGUUGUCCCUGAAGAGCUCCAGAGGCCACAACCAAUGGGACCAGUGGGAGAGCAGCAGCCAGCAGAGGAGGCUACGGCCUCUCAUGAGCUGGUGUCCACUGGGGGCAUCCGUGUGGACUUACGAUUUCUGUUUGAGUGGAGCAGCAGAAUCCUCAACUACUUAGAGACAGGGUGGCCUGGAGAGGUUUCUGGGGUGGCAUUUGAACUAAGAGCCGAAGGGUAAGAAUUCAGCCACAGAAGGGACUUGAAAUACUGCAGGAGUGGAAAGGAAGCAAGAUUGGCUGCAGUGGUGCAUGUGUGUAACUGUGUGUGUGUUUGUGGGCUGUGUGUGUGCACACGUGCACCCCUAUAGAAACAGACAAGUGUUGGAAAGUCUUUUAUUCCAGGUGAAAUACCAUGUUUGAAGGGUUUUAGGCUUAAGAAAGAGGCAGCAUAAUUACAAUAUUUAAUACGACAGCCCUGGUUCUCCUGCACAUUAUCACUUGUGUACAGUUUCGCAUUUGCGGAGUAUCCUGCACUCAUUGCUUCACUCGAUCCUCACUUUAGCUGUGUGAAACAGCUCUCCUCAUUUCCUUUAUCUUUCACUGUAGUAAGAAUGCUGUGUAUGAGCCUGACCCUCAUAGCAGAUUUUUAUGUACAUUCACAGUAUCAUUAACUUUAGGAAAAGACAGAAGGAAAUGAGAAAGGAAACAGGAAGAGAGAAAGAGGCCUUGAGGAGGAUAUGGCUCAGAAGGGUUUGCUGUACUUUCAAAGGAAGUGAUUACAGAAGUGUGUGUAAGGGCGGUGCAGCUCUGGAGUGGCCAUGUGUGGGAAGGCGGAGGGUGGUUACUACAAGGCAGAAGGGACACACACCACUGGCUAUUUGUAGAAAAGCCUCACAUAGAGGGUGACAGCCAGAUAGAACUGGAAACAGACACACCAGUCGUAUGUAAUGAAGAAUGUAUCCAGGACUUUCAAAGAGCUCUUACAACUCAGUAGCACAAAGACAGAUAACCUAACAAAUUGAGCGAGUAUUUAGCCAAUCAGUAGUACAAAAAGUGUGCUACAUCAUCACUCAUAUGAUGACUGCAGACUAGAACCAUUAUGUAGCUACAAAGACAGCUAAAUUCUAAAAAAUGACAACUGGGAAUAGUAGCAAGAAUGUGGAACAAAUGGACCCCCACAGGAGGCCAACACGGAUGUGAUGUGGGACACCCAUUUGGAAAACAGUUUGGCAGUUUCUCAUACAGUUAUUCAUAUGCUUGCCAAAGACCUAGCAAUUCCUCAGUGAAGCAUUUACCACUUGACCCCAAAUAGAAAACUAUGUCUACCCAAAGACUCCAGUUGGAUGUUCAUGAUGUUUAUCCUUAUAGUAGCCACAAACUAAACACAACUCAGAUGUCCACCAACAGGUGAAUAAAUAAACCAAUUGUACUGUUGCCACAUCGUGUAAUACUACCCAGCAAAAACAUGAAAAAGCAAGAGAUCAAUACAUGAAAGUCCAUGGAUGAAUUUAUUUUAAAAAAUCCUUUUCCUGAGUGAAAAAAGCCAGAACAGCAACAAAAAAAGCUCUUAGAUUGAAUUUUUAAUCCAUAGGACAGGAUGAUGUUGUACAGGGCAAUUAUGUGGAGGGAGAAGAAAAUGAGUCCAACACUAACUCUACAGUGCUCCAGCAAAGUGUAUCCCAGCCAGAGGAAAGAGGCCGAGACAGGAAGUGGCCACUGGCUAUUGCACAUCAGGGAACCCUGGCACCCUGGACAGGAGCUGAGAACUGGGGGUACAGUGCAGGACCAGGCAGGUGGCGAGGACUCAUGGGAGGAAGUGAAACCAGCAGCAGGAAGUGGGUACAGAGAGAUCAUUACUGAUGGGGCACCAAGGGAGAAAGAUUUAUUCUUAUUUGCUUGUGUUUUGCUUGUUCCUUUUAAUGCUGUGAUACCUGCCCAUGUUCAUGUGUUGGGAAUGAGAAAACAGAAGUAAGUGACUCAGAAGAAAGAAUAAUUGAAGAACACAGAAUGGAAUUGUAACAAUUUGAAGUUAUUAAAAAAUAGUUUCAUUUUAA